UUUUUGCGAAGCGCGUGAGGGAUGGUAGUGGAAAUCCUUUUUGUCUUUGCCGAAACGCGCUCGAGAACCUCAGCAUGACAAGACAAAAAGAUUGCAAUGGACAGCCCGACCCGAG
Molecule: small RNA, 115 nt
Filed under: Epilithonimonas hungarica
Lineage: Bacteria; Pseudomonadati; Bacteroidota; Flavobacteriia; Flavobacteriales; Weeksellaceae
Description: Chryseobacterium hungaricum Flavo-1 RNA
Rfam family: Flavo-1 RNA
Source: RNAcentral